CUACGGGAGGCUGCAGUGGGGAAUAUUGCACAAUGGAGGAAACUCUGAUGCAGCAACGCCGCGUGGAGGAUGACACUUUUCGGAGCGUAAACUCCUUUUAUAUAGGAAGAAGAUGACGGUACUAUAUGAAUAAGCGCCGGCUAACUCCGUGUCAGCAGCCGCGGUAAUACGGAGGGCGCAAGCGUUACUCGGAAUCACUGGGCGUAAAGAGCGUGUAGGCGGAUUAAAAAGUCAGAAGUGAAAUCCUAUAGUUUAACUAUAGAACUGCUUCUGAAACUCUUAAUCUAGAAUAUGGGAGAGGUAGAUGGAAUUUCUGGUGUAGGGGUAAAAUCCGUAGAGAUCAGAAGGAAUACCGAUUGCGAAGGCGAUCUACUAGAACAUUAUUGACGCUGAGACGCGAAAGCGUGGGGAGCAAACAGGAUUAGAUACCCUCGUAGUC
Molecule: ribosomal RNA, 439 nt
Filed under: uncultured bacterium
Lineage: Bacteria
Description: partial 16S ribosomal RNA
Rfam family: Bacterial small subunit ribosomal RNA
Source: RNAcentral